AGAGUCUCCAGUUGGUGACCAAGAGUACAUCUCUUUUCAAAUAGCUGGAUUAGGUCCUCAUGCUGCUGUGGUCAUUGCUGGUCAUCUUUGAUGCAGUCACUGAACAGGCAGAUUCGCUGACCCUUGUGGCGCCCUCUUCUGUCUUCGAAGGAGACAGCAUCGUUCUGAAAUGCCAGGGAGAACAGAACUGGAAAAUUCAGAAGAUGGCUUACCACAAGGAUAACAAAGAGUUAUCUGUUUUCAAAAAAUUCUCAGAUUUCCUUAUCCAAAGUGCAGUUUUAAGUGACAGUGGUAACUAUUUCUGUAGUACCAAAGGACAACUCCUUUUCUGGGAUAAAACUUCAAAUAUAGUAAAGAUAAAAGUCCAAGAGCUCUUUCAACAUCCUGUGCUGACUGCCAGCUCCUUCCAGCCCAUCGAAGGGGGUCCAGUGAGCCUGAAAUGUGAGACCCGGCGCUCUCCACAGAGGUUGGAUGUUCAACUCCAGUUCUGCUUCUUCAGAGAAAACCAGGUCCUGGGGUCAGGCUGGAGCAGCUCUCCGGAGCUCCAGAUUUCUGCCGUGUGGAGUGAAGACACAGGGUCUUACUGGUGCGAGGCAGAAACGGUGACUCACAGGAUCAGAAAACAGAGCCUCCAAUCCCAGAUUCACGUGCAGAGCAAGUAUCAGUGAGGCUGAGCCUGGAGAAAAAAAGAUAGGAGUGUUAUAGCUUCAGCUUGGACUACUAGUCUGUUUCUUUGUUCAACUCCUGUCCUUGAGGAAAGUGAAAAUUAAGCUAGAAAAACCCUCCAGGUUGCGGCCGGGCGCGGUGGCUCACGCCUGUAAUCCCAGCACUUUGGGAGGCUGAGACGGGCAGAUCAUGAGGUCAGGAGAGAGACCAUCCUGGCUAACACGGUGAAACCCCGUCUCUACUAAAAAUACAAAAAAUUAGCCGGGCUUGGUGGGGGGCGCCUGUAGUCCCAGCUACUAGGGAGGCUGAGGCAGGAGAAAGGCGUGAACCUGGGAGGUGGAGCUUGCAGUGAGCCGAGAUCACGCCACUGCACUCCAGCCUGGGCGACAGGGCGAGACUCCGUCUCAAAAAAACAAAACAAAACAAAACGAAAAACCCUCCAGAUUGCUCCUGGCUUCCUACUUCGUAAGAAUCAGAAAUGCACUAAGCCCCUUAUAAUCUUUC
RNAcentral lists this small RNA (1170 nucleotides) under Pan troglodytes (chimpanzee). RNAcentral describes it as "retained intron". The record is from RNAcentral. Lineage: Eukaryota; Metazoa; Chordata; Mammalia; Primates; Hominidae.